GAUAAUGUGGCUGAGGUUUAUAGGCGAUAGACUGUAAAUCUAUAUACGGAGUUAAAUCCUUUUAUCA
Molecule: transfer RNA, 67 nt
Filed under: Parapenaeopsis tenella
Lineage: Eukaryota; Metazoa; Arthropoda; Malacostraca; Decapoda; Penaeidae
Description: tRNA-Tyr
Rfam family: tRNA
About the family: Transfer RNA (tRNA) molecules are approximately 80 nucleotides in length. Their secondary structure includes four short double-helical elements and three loops (D, anti-codon, and T loops). Further hydrogen bonds mediate the characteristic L-shaped molecular structure. tRNAs have two regions of fundamental functional importance: the anti-codon, which is responsible for specific mRNA codon recognition, and the 3' end, to which the tRNAs corresponding amino acid is attached (by aminoacyl-tRNA synthetases). tRNAs cope with the degeneracy of the genetic code in two manners: having more than one tRNA (with a specific anti-codon) for a particular amino acid; and 'wobble' base-pairing, i.e. permitting non-standard base-pairing at the 3rd anti-codon position.
Source: RNAcentral